Molecule: long non-coding RNA, 1161 nt
Filed under: Calidris pygmaea (Spoon-billed sandpiper)
Lineage: Eukaryota; Metazoa; Chordata; Aves; Charadriiformes; Scolopacidae
Description: lncRNA (ENSCPGG00000014644.1)
Source: RNAcentral
GGGGGGACGGAACGGCGGGACGGACCCGGGCAGCGGCCCCGGGGCUGGGGGGGGAAGGGAGGAGGAGGAGGAGGAGGACGACGGUCGGGAGCGGGAGGGGCGGAGGGGGGGGCCGAGCGGCGGGCGGGGCGCCCAGGGAGAGCCCGCAGCCGGCCCCGCCCCGCCGCCGCCGUGAGGGGGGCGGCUCCCGGGCCGCGGCCUGGCUCGCAGCCUCCCCCGGCGCUGCUCUGUGUCUCCCCGCAGCACCGGUGCGCGCUCCCGGAGCCCCAAACGCUCCCCUGCAGGGUUCUUGUAUCCGCUGGAGUCUCCGGAGCCCCCGGUGUUUUUCUGGGGUCGGUCCCGCGGCCCCCACUGCUCCGCUCCGGCCAUGGCCGGUACCCCGGGGCCCGUACAGCCCCCUUCACCCUCGUACAACCCCAGCCUGUGCCCCCGAAGCCCUCACAGCCCCCGCUGCUCCCCCAGAGCUCCUGUGGCCCCCACCGCUCUUCUCUAGUCCCCAUUUGUGCCCCCCAGACCUCCCAUGUCUCCCCUCCAGCCUCUGCCGGAUCCCCUGGAGCGUCUGUGGCUCCUGCCUGCACCUCUCUAGGCCCCACAGCCCCCGGCCUGUGCCCUCGCAGCCCCCUCUGCUUCUGCAGAGCCCCUGUCCCAGCUCCCAGAGCUCCUGCGCCCCCUGAGCUGCCUUUCCAGAGCACCCAUGGGUGCCCCCACAGUUCUCCCCUUGGGCACAACCCUCUCAUCCUCCCUCUUUUCUCUCUCAGACUCUCUUGUCAUGGUGUCCUGGACCUCAAAACCGUUGUCUUCACCUCCCACCAAGGUCCUGGCCAUCUGGUGCCCCCCCAGCCCCUUUGUUGUGUCCUGGGGUGCCCUGUGCACAGCCCCUCCACCAGCAGUUACCCUGCAUCCCCAGGUUACCAUGGCACAAACUGGGGUUUCUACUCUUUGCUCUGUGUGUCUCCCCAGACCCCCCAGCGCUGCAGCCACCUCUGUGCCCCUUUGGCCCCUGUGGUGGCCCCAUCUUGGGGUGUCUUUGUUUUUCUUGGGUCUAGCCCCCAGCGUAGUCCCUAUACCCCAUCCCUCAUUGCCCCACACUGGUACUGUAGUUUGCUGGAGGACUCUGGAGCUGAGGGAAAGCUUCAAAGCUUAUUUGAGAGCAGUUUCUGA